AUCAAGCCCUUCGCUUUUU
This 19-nucleotide small nuclear RNA is filed under the name Arabidopsis thaliana (thale cress). Its description in RNAcentral is "snRNA_01799". The record is from RNAcentral. Lineage: Eukaryota; Viridiplantae; Streptophyta; Magnoliopsida; Brassicales; Brassicaceae.